Hipposideros armiger (great roundleaf bat) is the source of this 2454-nucleotide long non-coding RNA. RefSeq lists it as uncharacterized. Lineage: Eukaryota; Metazoa; Chordata; Mammalia; Chiroptera; Hipposideridae. The transcript is spliced from 3 exons. The record is from RefSeq and is a predicted model, not a curated record.
UGAAGCCUAUGGGGAGACCAGCAUGGUGGAGCCGUCCCCCUGAAUUUCCCCCUGGUGAUUCUACUCAGGCCAAGUAAUUCAGGAGGGGAUGACCCAGACCACCCCACCGCCACCCUCCCACCAGCCUGGGGCACAUGACUGAGGCCUGAGCAGAGGAUUUCACAGCUAAGGCCACAAUGACUGGCUCUAUGGGUGAGAGAACAGGGACAAGCCGGCAGGAAGCCUCCAGAAUUUUCCAGAGCUACCAGGAAGGAGCCUCUCUCUUUUCCUUCAGCCCCUGCCCAAGCCUCAGUGCUGUCAGCAUUCGCACGACAUCAGUGGUUCUCAACCUUGGCUGCAAAUGAUCUUUUCUUCUGAGAAUCUGAUAGCUGGGUAUCACACUCAGACGAAUUAAUGCAGAAUCUCUAGGGGUAGGAACCAGGCAUGGUUUUGAAAACUUCCCAGGUGAUUCGCGGGUGCUGCCACGAGCCACGAUCGAGCAUCAUGGCCCUACGAGGAAUUUUCAUAUCAGCUGCAGAGAACAUGAAUUUUACAUUUUCUUACCCAAGAGUCGUCUUCAGGCGACCCCUGUGAAAGGGUCGUUCGACCCCCCAAAGGGGUCGUGACCCACAGGUUGAGAACUGCUGGUGUAGAGCCUGGGCUGAGGGGACAGUGUUGGAUGCUGAUAAGAUAUCCACAUGCAAAUAAAUGCCUCGUCUUCAGAUCAGGGAGAGACUGUGGCCUCCAAUAAUGAUUAGACACUGAUUUCAGAAUCAUCAGCAAAGAGGUGAGAGUCCUGCCUGCAGCCUUGAAUGAGACUGCAGAAAUGAAUGAGGAGAGAGAAGAGAUUGCAUACUAGUCUUCGGAGGGUACCCUCUUAAAAGUAACCAGAAGUGUGAGAACCAUCAAAGGCAGAGCAUAAAGAAAGAGAUGGAGACAUGAAGAAAGAAGGAAAAGAGAUGUUUAUGGAAUCCUCGAGAAGGGAGCGAAGUGUCUGGAGUGUUUUCAGAAACUUAACCUAUGGUUACUGAAUUGACCUAGAAAAAACAAAGCAUGUUCUGUCAGUGAAUUUGGAGGAACUGCUAGAUAUUGUGAAGAAAGAGAUAAAAGAAGGAGGAGCAGCCUGCAGAAGGACAGAGGAAUUCCACGGAACAAGGGCACGAUGGGCAAGUCCACUGCUGGAGUCGGACCAAGUAGAUCAGAGGGCAGACGGGCACAGAGCGUCCGGGCCGGACUCGCAACUGCGCUGGGAACACAGCGCCCUCCUCACAUGAGUGAUAAAAGUCAUAAGCAAAUGCUAUUCAUUAUUCUUGGGGCAAAGAGCCCCUCUCCUGCUAGCUCCAUACUGAAGCAAGUUCUGGGGGGUAGUGUGGAAGGGAGCCCGCCGGUGGGCCACAGGUAGAGAUUAGGCCGGCAACACAGGUGUGUAAAAGCGCCUGUGAGGCAGCUGGCCUCCGUGCGGGGCAACUUAGCUGCUGGGGACCCUUUAUCUCCUUGUGGAAAAGCUAAAUGUUUAUGAUACACUUGGUUUCCCCUGGUGCCAUCACGGUACAAAAGGAAGCCCAAUUUCUUCGCUGAGCAGGAAGCUGGAAACCAACGGUCUCGGUUUUUGGGUUUUUUUAAAGGCCUAAUUUGUAGCUGCCGAUUUCCACGGUGCGAACUCCCACACGACGUAUUUCAGGCCCGCAGCACGAUGUCCCUGAACGAGGAACUGUGCAGGGAGACAGUGCGCGGCGGGCUCUGCCAGUCGGUGCGAGCUGGCUACAGAGUCAGAUGGAACUAGUCUGACUAGUCAGUGGUCUGGGGCUGGCACGGGUCAUUUCUAGAAGCCUCUCAGGACAGUCUGUGCAGCCAGGUCUGAGAACCAUUACUGACAGCUGUGCGUAUCAGGCUUUCGUGUUGGGGGGACCCUGUCGAAGCACAGGCUCUGACUCAUGGUGCUGUUGGUCCCUAGCAAGGCAGGUGAGUGGCCCCAAAAAAGGAGGAAAAAAGCAAGUCAUAUGGUCAUUCUCAGCCCGGCCAUUGUCAGAAAUGUCCGAAUCGUUGAGAGAGACACUUUGUUGGGAAGUCACCAACGAGGUCCAUGACUUAUUUAUGGACAAACUCAGAGAAGUUUGCUUUCACCCAACCGCACUGUACUUUUAAAAUGUGAAUUAAAUGCCAACCUCAUGAAAAUCUGUAUUCCUCUAAUCCCUGGAAAAGAUAAUAACAGCAAUAACAAUGACAAAAGAAGUGACAGUACUGGGCACACCCCCACCUGCGGCAGUCCUGCCCCGGAGUCCUCCUGCGACUGGUGCCUCCCAGGGGUCUCCCACCUGCUCUGUUUAUGCUCCCUGCCUCCCUGAAGGAAUUUGAGGGGAAUUCAUAUUUUAGGUUUUAUCUAACUUUUAAAGUACUUUUCCUUUCCCCGAUGCAUGAACCUACCUUUCUGUCUCACUUCCCACCAUUCCUCACAUAUAAACAGUAUAUACUUGA